This 497-nucleotide ribosomal RNA is filed under the name uncultured bacterium. RNAcentral's name for it is "partial 16S ribosomal RNA". It matches the Rfam family "Bacterial small subunit ribosomal RNA", at positions 28 to 507 of the family's 1533-position model. The record is from RNAcentral.
GAUGAACGCUGGCGGCGUGCCUAAUACAUGCAAGUCGAGCGAACAGACGAGGAGCUUGCCCCUUUGACGUUAGCGGCGGACGGGUGAGUAACACGUGGAUAACCUACCUAUAAGACUGGGAUAACUUCGGGAAACCGGAGCUAAUACCGGAUAACAUGUUGAACCGCAUGGUUCAACAGUGAAAGACGGUCUUGCUGUCACUUAUAGAUGGAUCCGCGCCGCAUUAGCUAGUUGGUAAGGUAACGGCUUACCAAGGCAACGAUGCGUAGCCGACCUGAGAGGGUGAUCGGCCACACUGGAACUGAGACACGGUCCAGACUCCUACGGGAGGCAGCAGUAGGGAAUCUUCCGCAAUGGGCGAAAGCCUGACGGAGCGACGCCGCGUGAGUGAAGAAGGUCUUCGGAUCGUAAAACUCUGUUAUUAGGGAAGAACAAAUGUGUAAGUAACUAUGCACGUCUUGACGGUACCUAAUCAGAAAGCCACGGCUAACUACGUG